Molecule: small nucleolar RNA, 211 nt
Organism: Sorex fumeus (smoky shrew)
Lineage: Eukaryota; Metazoa; Chordata; Mammalia; Eulipotyphla; Soricidae
Product: small nucleolar RNA U3
Exons: 1
Source: RefSeq, a predicted model, not a curated record
AAGACUCUACUUUCAGGGAUCAUUUCUAUAGUUCCUUACUAGAGAAGUUUCUCUAAUCAUGUAGAGCACCUGAAACCCCAACGAGUAGCCAGAGGGCCAUCUCCGGAGGGUCAAGCCGUGUCUAGGUAUUGCUUUCACAACUUUCUUCUACUGUUAAUGAUCAUUCUCUUCCUUUGGAAGAGUGAGAGAGAGAGGAUGUAGUCUGAGUGCU